Nicotiana tabacum (common tobacco) is the source of this 869-nucleotide non-coding RNA. NCBI's taxonomy places the organism in Eukaryota, Viridiplantae, Streptophyta, Magnoliopsida, Solanales, Solanaceae. The record is from RefSeq and is a predicted model, not a curated record.
AACCUUCACCCUAAAAUAACCCUAGACCUAGACCUAAAAACCUAGACUUAGCUAUCAGCCGCAAAAACAAAAAAUCGGACCCCCCCUAUUGAUCAUCUUCUUCAAGCAGCCUUCCACGACUUUUUUCUGAACAAAAAAACAACACCCCUAGCUUCAUCUUCUUCAGUCAUUGAACAGACCCAGCGACCAUCCUCAUUUUUCCUGGUCUUCCUCCUCAUUCUCUCACCAUCGCCACCAGCCUUUCCAUCCUCUACAAAACACGCACACACGGACAAAGAUUGGGGGAACAAAUUUUGGGGAUAAAAAUUGGGAAGGAAGGCAGAGAAACAGUUUGACUGCUGCGUAGUCGAAGUUUCCGUUCGAGGUGUGGUCUGUGUUUCCGAUUCGGGUUCGCGGUUCCUGCUCGAUUUCGUCGCUGUUUUCCUCAGUUAGAUUUGAAGCCCUGUACUUUCAGUUUCUCAUAUAUUAAAACAGGUUAUUAUAGGCAGAGGCGGAGCCAGGAUUUCAAGCUUAUAGGUUCGGGAUUCUAAUCGUUUGAAGUUACUAGGUUCUAAAUUAAUAAUAUAUACGUAUUCAAUGAAAUUUUUAAGAUAAAUACAAGGUUCGAACCAAAGUUACUAGGUUCGGCCGAACCCGUUCCGAUCACUCUAGCUCCGUCCCUGGUUAUAGGAUACAAGAAGAAGAGAAUUAGAAGAAAUACUACUAGAGAUGAAUUACCAGUUCCUAAUAGCAAAUGGUCAACUUUAUGCGAAAAAUGUAUGCUUACUUGGAUAACUUUACUUGGAAGAUUUAAUGUCUAAGCUUAGUGACUAGCUUCAGAUUCAGAACCAAGAAGAAGACUUUUUUAAUAUAGACUUUAAUUAGUUGCA